This 429-nucleotide ribosomal RNA is filed under the name Bacillota bacterium. Its description in RNAcentral is "Firmicutes bacterium partial 16S ribosomal RNA". It matches the Rfam family "Bacterial small subunit ribosomal RNA", at positions 355 to 776 of the family's 1533-position model. Lineage: Bacteria; Bacillati; Bacillota. The record is from RNAcentral.
UAGGGAAUCUUCGGCAAUGGGGGCAACCCUGACCGAGCAACGCCGCGUGAGUGGAGAAGGUUUUCGGAUCGUAAAGCUCUGUUGUAAGUCAAGAACGGGUGUGAGAGUGGACAGUUCACACUGUGACGGUAGCUUACCAGAAAGGGACGGCUAACUACGUGUCAGCAGCCGCGGUAAUACGUAGGUCCCGAGUGUUGUCCGGAUUUAUUGGGCGUCAAGCGAGCGCAGGCGGUAUGAUAAGUCUGGAGUUAAAGUCUGUGGCUCAACCAUAGUUCGCUUUGGAAACUGUCAAGCUUGAGUGCAGAAGGGGAGAGUGGAAUUCCAUGUGUAGCGGUGAAAUGCGUAGUUAUAUGGAGGAACACCGGUGGCGAAAGCGGCUCUCGGGACUGAAACUAACACUGAGGCUCGAAAGCGUGGGGAGCGAACAGG